AAGGUCGAGUAGCGAAUGAUGAGA
This 24-nucleotide non-coding RNA is filed under the name Arabidopsis thaliana (thale cress). The record is from RNAcentral. Lineage: Eukaryota; Viridiplantae; Streptophyta; Magnoliopsida; Brassicales; Brassicaceae.